AUCGCUUCUUGGCUUUUUGGCUAAGAUCAAGUGUAGUGUCUGUUAUUAUCAGUUUAAUAUCUGAUACGUCCUCUAUCUGAGGAAACUAUAUUAAAUGGAUUUUUGGAGCAGGGAGUCAGAAUAGGGGCUUGUUCCGUCCACUCCAUGCAUCGACCUGGUAUUGCAGUACUUCCAGGAAUGGUGCACACCCA
Molecule: non-coding RNA, 191 nt
Organism: Erinaceus europaeus (western European hedgehog)
Lineage: Eukaryota; Metazoa; Chordata; Mammalia; Eulipotyphla; Erinaceidae
Source: Rfam